Harmonia axyridis is the source of this 874-nucleotide long non-coding RNA. RefSeq lists it as uncharacterized. Lineage: Eukaryota; Metazoa; Arthropoda; Insecta; Coleoptera; Coccinellidae. The record is from RefSeq and is a predicted model, not a curated record. The transcript is spliced from 2 exons.
AAUACGAAAAAUUCAGAAAUAUCAACAGUUGACAAUUUUUCCAUUAGGCUACUGCCUGAUCCUUUGUGUGAAGAUCGGGAUUCUGUCUGUGUCGUUUUCCAAAGACAUAAUUUGAGAAUUACUUGUGAAUUUCAGUUUGAAUUCAUGUUGUAGGUACAUGGGAAAGUAAAAGUUCCUAAAAACACGUCAGAUUUUCCUGGAAUCUCUUUGUUCCCAUCAAAAAAAGCCUUAAUCAUUUCAAUAGAAAUAACUUGCGUAAAUUGGCCAUCUGUGAAAUGUGAAUCACGCAUCACGAAAUCAACACUUCUGAGAUAUGAAUAAUCAUUUGAAAUGCAUAGGUGGAACAGAGAGAGAGAAGGUAUUCUUCCAUAGAAGAGGAAACUGCAACAAUAAAGAUUUCGUAUAUUUAAUGAAUGUGUAUGUUUGGUCAAACAGAAAUUCUUAUCUGUAGCACCUUUAUCUGAAGGUAAUUAUUAAGUUUGCACUUCUCGGCUAGCUAGUGAGGAGUUGCGUUAGACAGUUUUUUUUUCUGAUAAAAUCUACUACGAGUUGCAGAGAUGUGUAAGUUUUUCAGGAAUAAAGUGAAAUCGUCUUAUGGAGUGAAUACGAUGCAAGAUUCAACUCAAACUAAACCAAGCGUUUCCGUAAUACCUGGUUUAGACCAAAGUAAAGUAGAUACCCCAUCUGAAACCUAUAAAAAAGUAACUAAGUACACUUGUAAUAAGUAAACCUAACCUCGAAUGUACCAAAUGGCCUACUGAACUAAGAAUUCAGAAAUUAAUUUAAUUUGGAUCAGUAUUACUUAGAGGAAUUUCGAAUGAACUGUUAUCUCCUAAUGUUUUGUAUGAUUUUGAAUAUUAAAUGAUUCAUAAUA